UGGACUAAAAAAAACAUAAGUUUCCAUUUGAUUUUUCAAAGUUAACCCAUUAAAACCAUCCACAGUUAUUUUUAACACUAAUUUUUAUUUUCAUUAAUUUUUUAAAAAUAAGUAUGUAACAUUAAAUUAUGAUCACGCUGUAUUUAAAUAUGGUAUCAAUAUUUCAUAGAUCCAGUACACAUAAGAGUCGAAAAGCUUCUAAAGUUUUUGGUUAAAGUUGAGAAGGAUCAAAGUAAUUAUUAUAUAGAAAAACUAGAUGAAAAUGAAGUUGAAAUAAUCACAACCGAAUUUCAUAAGAUUGACGAUGAUCACGAUGGUCUUAUAAAAAAGGAAAAAUCCAUAGAAUUAAUUAUUUCUAUGGGCUGUGGUACUCGUGAAAAAAACGACUAUUUUUCAGACGAAGAUGAACUGGAAAGUCAACCCAGUUCCUUUGUAGCCUGUCCGCCUCAGAAUAACACUGUGUUUGAUUUGAAGAAAAAUAUUGAUGACGAUGAUUUAGUUGAUUUUAACGUAGCUGAUGUAAUGUUAAAAGUAUUAUUGAACAGGUCAGGACAUAAAAAUACAUAUUAUGGCAUAUAACUUUAAUACUAGGAGUCAGACUUGAAGAAUUAUUUAAGAUGUGUAAAUAUAAUAUUUUGUUUAAUUUGUAAACACUCUUUCAACAUUUAUAUGUCUUAUUGUAAAACAAGAUUUGUA
Molecule: long non-coding RNA, 696 nt
Organism: Daktulosphaira vitifoliae (grape phylloxera)
Lineage: Eukaryota; Metazoa; Arthropoda; Insecta; Hemiptera; Phylloxeridae
Exons: 4
Source: RefSeq, a predicted model, not a curated record